GGUCAUCAAGCUCCCUGAGCCUCUGUCGGGAAAAUCAGCCCCUCUACCUUCCCUGGCUCCUCUCCUCUGUUUGCUCUCACAGAAGACGGCUCACAGAAAGUGGAAUUGCCUGUUGCUGUUGCCAGUGCCCUGGGCUGCCUCCUCCCAGAAAUGGAAGCUGAAGAAACACUGUUGGCUGUGCCACAAAGUCAUGGUAACGAAGUCAAGAUUCUCUGGGACCACCAUGCUGAUUUCUCCACUCACUGAGCUGUCACAUAGGUACCGUGGAAAACAGAGUGAAAAGAGUUUGGAAGAUUAAUUCAAAGAAGGCGUUAGAACAUUAGAAUCGUAUAAGGAAAAAGACAAAAGAAGGCUCAAAAAUCUGGCCUACUAUCGAUGGUCAGCACCACCAAGAACACACUUGCCAGUUCAGACUGCUUUGUGAUUGAAACGGCUGACCCCUCCACCCUACCUCUUGCUUCGCCUUACUCGGGAAGGGACCGUGAAGGUACUCGCAAGCUUUGAUUGUGACAGCUGGCGUUAGUCUUCGCCUUCUUGUCCCCAUGCUGGUUGCCUCGCAGCUACAGGACAACUGCUGGAGCUUCUGCCGUCUCUUCUGUACAUACGAACAAACAGAGGGAGACCGACAAGCUCUGCAGACU
Molecule: non-coding RNA, 641 nt
Organism: Myodes glareolus (Bank vole)
Lineage: Eukaryota; Metazoa; Chordata; Mammalia; Rodentia; Cricetidae
Source: RefSeq, a predicted model, not a curated record